This 1361-nucleotide unclassified non-coding RNA is filed under the name uncultured cyanobacterium. RNAcentral's name for it is "bacterial SSU rRNA". The stretch from base 1 to 1063 matches the Rfam family "Bacterial small subunit ribosomal RNA", at positions 475 to 1533 of the family's 1533-position model. Lineage: Bacteria; Bacillati; Cyanobacteriota. The record is from RNAcentral.
GUACCUGAAGAAAAAGCAUCGGCCAACUCCGUGCCAGCAGCCGCGGUAAUACGGAGGAUGCAAGCGUUAUCCGGAAUCAUUGGGCGUAAAGGGUCCGCAGGUGGCGAAUAAAGUCUGCUGUUAAAGACCGGGGCUUAACUCCGGAAAGGCAGUGGAAACUGAUUAGCUAGAGUACGGUAGGGGUAGAGGGAAUUCCCAGUGUAGCGGUGAAAUGCGUAGAUAUUGGGAAGAACACCGGUGGCGAAAGCGCUCUACUAGGCCGAAACCGACACUGAGGGACGAAAGCUAGGGUAGCGAAAGGGAUUAGAUACCCCUGUAGUCUUAGCGGUAAACGAUGGAUACUAGGUGUAGCUUGUAUCGACCCGAGCUGUGCCGAAGCUAACGCGAUAAGUAUCCCGCCUGGGGAGUACGCACGCAAGUGUGAAACUCAAAGGAAUUGACGGGGGCCCGCACAAGCGGUGGAGUAUGUGGUUUAAUUCGAUGCAACGCGAAGAACCUUACCAGGGCUUGACAUGUCGCGAAUCUAGCGGAAACGUUAGAGUGCCUUAGGGGAUGCGAACACAGGUGGUGCAUGGCUGUCGUCAGCUCGUGUCGUGAGAUGUUGGGUUAAGUCCCGCAACGAGCGCAACCCUCGUCCUUAGUUGCCAAUAUUAAGUUAGGCACUCUAGGGAGACUGCCGGGGACAACUCGGAGGAAGGUGGGGAUGACGUCAAGUCAGCAUGCCCCUUACGUCCUGGGCGACACACGUACUACAAUGGUUGGGACAAAGGGCAGCAAGCUCGCGAGAGUAAGCGAAUCUCAUCAAACCCAGCCACAGUUCAGAUUGCAGGCUGCAACUCGCCUGCAUGAAGUAGGAAUCGCUAGUAAUCGCAGGUCAGCAUACAGCGGUGAAUUCGUUCCCGGGCCUUGUACACACCGCCCGUCACACUAUGGAAGCUGGCUACGCCCGAAGUCGUUACCCUAACCCGGUUUUGGGAGGGGGAUGCCGAAGGUAGAGCUAGUGACUGGGGUGAAGUCGUAACAAGGUAGCCGUACCGGGAGGUGUGGCUGGAUCACCUCCUUUACAGGGGGACCUAGUCUAAUUACCAAUAGAUGAAAAAGUUGGUAAUUCGCAAGAAUCCUUAGGUCGUGAAGGGAGCAAGAAAAAACUUUCAAACUGUAAUGGGUGAGGGUCAAUGGGCUAUUAGCUCUGGUGGUUAGAGCGCACCCCUGAUAAGGGUGAGGUCCCUGGUUCAAGUCCAGGAUGGCCCACCUGAAAUACACAGACAUCCUGCCUGUGCCACAAAAAAGGAAAAGAUUUUAGCAUUGUCUCUUGUAAUCAAGAGCAAGAGAUAAUGCUGGAAUAGAUUCCAGCAAGAACC